Molecule: ribosomal RNA, 429 nt
Filed under: uncultured bacterium
Lineage: Bacteria
Description: bacterial SSU rRNA
Rfam family: Bacterial small subunit ribosomal RNA
Source: RNAcentral
ACCUCCGUACGGGAGGUAGGCAGUGGGAAUAUUGCAACGGAAAUCGGGGAACCUGAUGCAGCCAUGCCGCGUGUGUGAAGAAGGCCUUCGGGUUGUAAAGCACUUUCAGUAGGGAGGAAGGUAGUGUAGUUAACACCUGCAUUAUUUGACGUUACCUACAGAAGAAGCACCGGCUAACUCCGUGCCAGCAGCCGCGGUAAUACGGAGGGUGCGAGCGUUAAUCGGAAUUACUGGGCGUAAAGCGCAUGCAGGCGGCCUGUUAAGUCAGAUGUGAAAGCCCGGGGCUUAACCUCGGAAUUGCAUUUGAAACUGGCAGGCUAGAGUACUGUAGAGGGGGGUAGAAUUUCAGGUGUAGCGGUGAAAUGCGUAGAGAUCUGAAGGAAUACCGGUGGCGAAGGCGGCCCCCUGGACAGAUACUGACACUCAGAU